UCCCACCCACCCUGCAAGAAUGCCCCAGUGCACUGAGAAAUGCCACGCAGUAGGCAUCAACACUCUGGUGGGAGUCUGACCUCUGCUGUGUGACUCUGGACAGGGCCUGUGGCCUCUCGGAACUAUAGCCCCACAGGUGAUUCUAAGGCCUGGCCAGAGACGUGUAUGGUCGAGCCAAGGUGAAUACGGAGGUGCAAACUGGCCGUGUGUGUAACAGGUUCUGCCCCUCCUCAGGUUGGUGCAUCUGGAUGCUUCUGCAGCUGUGACCGUGAGAGCAUGAGCUUGAGAGAGGGAGACAAAGGAUCUGAAGCAGGCUCCUCACCGCUAGCACAGAACCCUACGUGGGGCUCAAACCCAUGAACCAGGAGAUUAUGACCCAAGCCGAAGUUGGAUGCCUAACUGACUGAGCCACCCAGGCGCUCCAAAAUUUUAUUUGAAAAAAAAAAAAGUGCAAGAUCUCUUUAUAUAACUCUUAUAAAAAGAAAAGAAAAGAAAAAAUUCCCCACGAUUCUGAUGAAGAGCUGGGGUGGAAAACACUGGUCUAAGACAUCAAACGACAGUACAAAGAACAGGUAUUAGAACUGUGUUCAAAUCACUUGCUGGUUGUGUGAUUACUCUGCCUAUGUGCCUCAGUUUCUCCAUCAGUGAAAUGGGUUGUUGUAAGAGUAGGGCAGAACCAUGCUGGAUGCUCCCAGCAGUUUGCAUUUCCCUUUGGGCACACAGCGAAGCCUGUGUUUCCAGCUUCCCUCAUGGGCAGGUGGGCUCAUGUGAUGGGGUGCUGGCUAAUGAACUAUGGGUGGAAGUGACAUUCACCACACCUCCACCAGGCCUGGCCCCGCAACCUCCCGCAGAGGAUCCAGUGGAGGCUGGUGGCAGCGAAGCCACGAGGCAGAGGAGGCCAGGCCCUGGACAAUGGCAUGUGCCCUGUUCCCCAGCAGCACUGGACUCUGACAUGAGAGAGAAAUAGACCUUUGUGCGUAAGUCCCUGAAAUCUGGGGUUGUUUGUUCCGGUGCUUGGCUCACCCUGACUAAACAGAGGUCUCAAUGAGGUGUACAUAUCUAAAAUACUCAGCCCCUGGAACGUGCUCAAUGAAUGCCUAAAGUAG
Molecule: long non-coding RNA, 1106 nt
Organism: Neofelis nebulosa (Clouded leopard)
Lineage: Eukaryota; Metazoa; Chordata; Mammalia; Carnivora; Felidae
Exons: 3
Source: RefSeq, a predicted model, not a curated record